AAAUAAAAUUAAUCCUCCAGGCUUUAAUAAUCGAUACAAGUUUUCUAUAGCUUGUUGCCAUUGAUCGGGGGACAAUGCUGAAAAACAGAAAAUGAGUGUAAUCGCAUCAAUAGACGCUUCUUCAAUGGAUCUUAGUAAGUCUGAUCCUGCCAGAUCCCAAACCGAAGCACUGCAAAACUUGGCAUCGUAUAAUGGGUUCUGUUUAACAACAUCAAUGGCCUUUUCUGAAUAAUCAACAGCAAAUAUUUUAAGAUUUGAGUUUUUGUUUUCCUUCAAAAUUGGCCAGAUAGUGUUUCCAGCACCGCAUCCAAUUUCUAAAAUUGAUUUUUCUCCUGCAUCUUCUUUUAGCAAGUCAAGAAGCUCUGGGAACUCUUGCGCAAUCCAUCUUCUAUUCAUGAAAAAUUUUCCUUCGUUUUUUCCAUAAAAUUGGUCCCAGUACCUUUCAGGAUGUGUCAUAUAAGCAUCCUUUUCGGUUACAGGAUAUAGUUUUUGUUCCUCUAUACAUUUUUUGGCCAAUGCUAAAUGCUCAUCAUCCCAUUCUACAUGAUCCCUGAACAAUUAAAGUAAAUUAGUACUAUGCAAUUCAUAUGAACUUGUUUAGUAUUACCACGCAUUUUGCUCGAAAACAUCUUCUUCUUCUGUGAGCAGACGACCCCCAAAUGAUUCAUUAAUUGAAAAAGUUGCUUCUCUUACAGAAGAAGUUUUUUUCUUCUCAGAAUUAUCUGGUGUUGUAUCCAUCUAUGACCAAUAAUUCUUUAAUUCCACUUGCAGUGGUUUCUACUAGGUACUGGUUGUUGAUGAAAACGUUUCAUAUGCAAAUGAUGUGAGGAUUAAAUGUAAAACAGAAUGCCAAAGUUAAUCAAACGUUACUCUUAGUUUAGCUUACAAAAGUGGUUUCGAACUUGUGGUAAUAUGAAUUUUAACUUCAACAACUAUACAUUACAUGCAGUACGGCAAAUAAAGCGGACUAUUGAUAUUUUCUGCCCACGAAAGUAAAAUAAUUUGAAAUAAAAAAAAGAAAUAUAAAUAUUUUAUAUGAAUCAC
Molecule: non-coding RNA, 1044 nt
Organism: Schizosaccharomyces pombe (fission yeast)
Lineage: Eukaryota; Fungi; Ascomycota; Schizosaccharomycetes; Schizosaccharomycetales; Schizosaccharomycetaceae
Source: the annotation of a GenBank genome assembly